Molecule: long non-coding RNA, 549 nt
Organism: Cryptomeria japonica (Japanese cedar)
Lineage: Eukaryota; Viridiplantae; Streptophyta; Pinopsida; Cupressales; Cupressaceae
Exons: 2
Source: RefSeq, a predicted model, not a curated record
UGUGGUAUGCAAGUUUUAUUGGACAAAAAAUGCCAUCCAAGUAUGGGCUCCUCCUAACUGGUGUGAGCUGAGCUCUGCCUAUGAUAAUGGCCGAGUUGGAGCUCACACCAGUGGAGGACUCCAUACAAACUGGAAUGGAGGGGCCUUCCUUAUAUUCUAACCUCAUUUUCAAGCUUAUCAUGAUGAAAGAGUGAGUGCAAAGGAGACUGGCCUUGUAAUUACAGGGCCAUGGUGUUCAAAAGAUAGCAGGAGGCUAAUUGCUAGAGGAAGAGAAGCUGCAAGGAAGAAUUCUGGAGAAUGUCAUCCCCAACAACUAACCUGAUGGUGCUUUCAACCCUGUUGCAGUUGAAAACAAAAAUCGAGCCUAAUGAGAGAUAAUAAACAUUGCAUUAUUAGUUGUUAUUAUACAGAGAGGAAUUGCAUGCAUGUUUCAGUUUUUUUAUAAGUAUAUGAAACUGUUACAUCUUUACUGAGAGUGAAAGAGUGCAGCAUUAUUCAGUUUCAUAUCUUGUUUGACAAUUAAUAAACAUACAAGACAAUUAUGUGAUA